GCCCUACGGGUGGCAGCAGUAGGGAAUAUUGCUUAAUGGGCGAAAGCCUGAAGCAGCAACGCCGCGUGUGCGAUGAAGGCCUUCGGGUCGUAAAGCACUUUUUACCGGGAAGAGGAAGGACGGUACCGGUAGAAUAAGCCUCGGCUAACUACGUGCCAGCAGCCGCGGUAAAACGUAGGAGGCGAGCGUUAUCCGGAUUUACUGGGUGUAAAGCGCGUGCAGGCGGUUUGCUAAGUUGGGUGUGAAAGCUCCUGGCUCAACUGGGAGAGGACGCUCAAGACUGGCAGACUGGAGAGCAGUAAGGGAAGGUGGAAUUCCGGGUGUAGUGGUGAAAUGCGUAGAUAUCCGGAGGAACACCAGUGGCGAAAGCGGCCUUCUGGACUGUAUCUGACGCUCAGACGCGAAAGCUAGGGUAGCAAACGGGAUUAGAUACCCCGGUAGUC
Molecule: ribosomal RNA, 443 nt
Filed under: uncultured Anaerolinea sp.
Lineage: Bacteria; Bacillati; Chloroflexota; Anaerolineae; Anaerolineales; Anaerolineaceae
Description: bacterial SSU rRNA
Rfam family: Bacterial small subunit ribosomal RNA
Source: RNAcentral